This 331-nucleotide long non-coding RNA is filed under the name Elaeis guineensis (African oil palm). RNAcentral describes it as "long non-coding RNA (EGUI_LNC008425)". Lineage: Eukaryota; Viridiplantae; Streptophyta; Magnoliopsida; Arecales; Arecaceae. The record is from RNAcentral.
ACAAAGAUUGAAGUCGACCAUUCAAAAAUGGAUCUCCAAAGGAUAAUCCUCCAAAAGUGAACUCUUGAAAGCCAAACUCCCAAAGGUUGAUCUCCCAAAGCCAAGCUCUUAGAAGUCAAAAUGAAAAGACUGAUUUAAGAACGCCAACUAAUAAAGGUGAACUAGAGGCAAAUUGACUAAAAUAGAAUAACAUGACUCUAAUCAUCUAUUAUCUUCUUUACUUCAAAGCUUGACUUAAGAAUCAAAAGGCCCAGCCAGAGCUGAUCCGAUGAGUUCUCUCAUUCUUUAUGCAGAUCUGCAACUUAAUGAUCCGAUAACACUCCUUACCCAU